GUGCUUGCUUCAGCAGCACACAUACUAAAAUUGAAAUGAUACAGAGAAGAUUAGCAUGGCCACUGCACAAGGAAGACACACAAAUUCAUGAAGCAUUCCAUAUUAAA
Molecule: small nuclear RNA, 107 nt
Organism: Jaculus jaculus (lesser Egyptian jerboa)
Lineage: Eukaryota; Metazoa; Chordata; Mammalia; Rodentia; Dipodidae
Source: RefSeq, a predicted model, not a curated record